GAUGAACGCUGGCGGCGUGCCUAAUACAUGCAAGUCGAGCGAACAGAUGAGGCGCUUGCUCCUCUGACGUUAGCGGCGCACGGGUGAGUAACACGUGGAUAACCUACCUAUAAGACUGGUAUAACUUCGGGAAACCGGCUCUAAUACCGGAUAAUAUAUUGAACCGCAUGGUUCAAUAGUGAAAGACGGUUUUGCUGUCACUUAUAGCUGGAUCCGCGCCGCAUUAGCUAGUUGGUAAGGUAACGGCUUACCAAGGCAACGAUGCGUAGCCGACCUGAGAGGGUGAUCGGCCACACUGGAACUGAGACAGGGUCCAUACGCCUACGGGAGGCAGCAGUAGGGAAUCUGCCGCAAUGGGCGAAAGCCCGACGGAGCAGCGCCGCGUGAGUGAUGAAGGUCUUCGGAUCGUAAAACUCUGUUAUUAGGGAAGAACAAAUGUGGAAGGAGCUAUGCACGUCUUGACGGUACCGAAUCAGAAAGCCACGGCUAACUACGUG
RNAcentral lists this ribosomal RNA (497 nucleotides) under uncultured bacterium. RNAcentral's name for it is "partial 16S ribosomal RNA". It matches the Rfam family "Bacterial small subunit ribosomal RNA", at positions 28 to 507 of the family's 1533-position model. The record is from RNAcentral.